Molecule: transfer RNA, 79 nt
Filed under: Cronartium quercuum f. sp. fusiforme G11
Lineage: Eukaryota; Fungi; Basidiomycota; Pucciniomycetes; Pucciniales; Coleosporiaceae
Rfam family: tRNA
About the family: Transfer RNA (tRNA) molecules are approximately 80 nucleotides in length. Their secondary structure includes four short double-helical elements and three loops (D, anti-codon, and T loops).
Source: Rfam by way of RNAcentral
GCACACUUAGCUCAGUGGUUAGAGCACCCUUCUAGAGUUCAGGUAAAAUAGAUCAUGGGUUUGAAUCCCAUAGUGCACA